Molecule: ribosomal RNA, 253 nt
Filed under: uncultured bacterium
Lineage: Bacteria
Description: partial 16S ribosomal RNA
Rfam family: Bacterial small subunit ribosomal RNA
Source: RNAcentral
UACGUAGGGUGCUAGCGUUGUUCGGAAUCACUGGGCGUAAAGGGCGUGUAGGCGGUCUGUUAAGUCUGAUGUGAAAUCCCCUCGCUCAACGAGGGAACUGCGUCGGAUACUGGCAGACUUGAGUACCGGAGAGGAAGGUGGAAUUCCCGGUGUAGCGGUGAAAUGCGUAGAUAUCUGGAGGAACACCGGUGGCGAAGGCGGCAUCCUGGACCGGCAUUGACGCUGAGGCGCGAAAGCCAGGGGAGCAAACGGG